This 1269-nucleotide long non-coding RNA is filed under the name Anser cygnoides (Swan goose). Its description in RNAcentral is "lncRNA (ENSACDG00005007394.1)". Lineage: Eukaryota; Metazoa; Chordata; Aves; Anseriformes; Anatidae. The record is from RNAcentral.
GUGGUAAGAAAUGCAGUUAAUAAAGGUUGUGACUUCAAUAAACAGUUUCAGAGCAGGAAUGCUUCCGAAUAAGUGUUUGAAGCUGUAGCUUUGCCCUGCUGUUUGCACCAUUUUCUUUGAGUGGUCUUUCCUGAAAUCUGAUUAGGAGUUGCACUUUUUAACUUCAGUCAAACGCAGUCACUUACAUUUCUUUGCUAAAACACCAGGUUGAAAUUGAAAUGCUGUAUAUCUAAUACAUUUUACUAAAAGACACAGGGUUAUCGUGGUCUGUAUUUUGCUUAAAUUCUUCUUAUUGACUGGCUAGAGGCUUCAGGAGCAUCUAGGCAUAGGCACUCACUUGAAGCUGAGGCUGGUGCCCAGUGGAAUACAGCUCAUGUGAACCGCUCAUGACUAGUCUUUCCACUUUCCUGCCAGGUGGCUGUGUUGUCCAGCUCCUUGUUAAAUCAACUGAAUUCCCUGAAUGUCAGAUAUGACACUUUAAGGGCUUCCAGGCUUUCAUUUUUAAGGUCUGACUAUCAAAGCUUCCUAUUCAUUGCAUAGUCUGCUAGGUAAGUAUCCACCUUAUUUGGCUGAAUUAAUAGCUAGUGUUGCUGUUUUGGCAUUACAUUUUGCAUAUUAGGAAUUAUAUUUUAAGGAAUUUUCUUCAAACCUAUAUAACUAAUUUAGUUGCAAAUCUGUAAGGUAAUCAGGCUUUCACUUCUAUGUCUUGCAUAGGCUCUGAGCAAACACAAGAAAGAUUUCUAUCCACUCUCCUGCAAGAAUGUUGGUGCACCCUUUUAGACACAAAUCUACUGGAAACACUGAAGAACUACAAUGAUUUGUUUUUCCUACUAUUUAAUGGGAACAUAUCCUUCCUGAGUGCAUUCCUACAUGUUAUGAUGUUGUAUGGAGCUGUGAUGUUGGCCUAUGAAUAUGAGAAACACCUGCUUUCAUCAGAGCACAAUGUUUUGUAUGCUUCAAAACAUGAUCACUUUUCCACCUAUAGCAGUUUGCUCAAUAAAAAACAUUCCUUCUCCUAUAAGAUCCUGCCAUGCUGAAUGCAUUUUUGUUCUGUGCAGAACAACUUGCUGUACCAGGACUUAUUUUGCUGAUCAUUGACGUGAUGUAGAACAGGCAGUGCCUGGCUUGAAAUGAAAAUCUAUACUCUCUAUAUUAUUUCAUGGAGUGCAGCCAUCAACCUGAAGGUGCCAUUUUGAAGCCAUAAGAGCACUUCAGUCAACUGAAAAACAAAACAAAAGACAAUAAACAAACCAAACAAACAAAUAAACA